RNAcentral lists this transfer RNA (76 nucleotides) under compost metagenome. RNAcentral describes it as "tRNA-Asp". It matches the Rfam family "tRNA". From Rfam's summary of the family: Transfer RNA (tRNA) molecules are approximately 80 nucleotides in length. Their secondary structure includes four short double-helical elements and three loops (D, anti-codon, and T loops). Further hydrogen bonds mediate the characteristic L-shaped molecular structure. tRNAs have two regions of fundamental functional importance: the anti-codon, which is responsible for specific mRNA codon recognition, and the 3' end, to which the tRNAs corresponding amino acid is attached (by aminoacyl-tRNA synthetases). tRNAs cope with the degeneracy of the genetic code in two manners: having more than one tRNA (with a specific anti-codon) for a particular amino acid; and 'wobble' base-pairing, i.e. permitting non-standard base-pairing at the 3rd anti-codon position. The record is from RNAcentral.
GCCCUCGUAGAGCAGUGGUUAGCUCGCGUGACUGUCACUCACGAGGUCACGGGUUCGAUUCCCGUCGGGGGCGCCA